Molecule: non-coding RNA, 22 nt
Filed under: Mus musculus (house mouse)
Lineage: Eukaryota; Metazoa; Chordata; Mammalia; Rodentia; Muridae
Source: RNAcentral
UGGGAGAUGUUUCUAGGAUCUU